UAGAGUUUGAUCCUGGCUCAGAACGAACGCUGGCGGCGUGUUUAAGACAUGCAAGUCGCACGGGACUAUUUGAGUAGCAAUACAAGAAUAGUCUAGUGGCGCACGGGUGAGUAACACGUGAAUUACAUGCCCUGCAGAGGGGGAUAGCCCAGGGAAACUUGGAUUAAUACCCCAUGGUCCCAGCACUUUUUAAAGGUUCCGAAGUCCGGCAGGACGGCGGAGUUUUCAAAAAGUGCUGGGUAAAGGUGGCCGCAAGGCUGUCGCUGCAGGAUUGGUUCGCGCCCUAUCAGCUUGUUGGUGAGGUAACGGCUCACCAAGGCUACGACGGGUACCUGGUCUGAGAGGACGAUCAGGCACACUGGAACUGAGACACGGUCCAGACACCUACGGGUGGCAGCAGUCGAGAAUAAUUCACAAUGGGGGCAACCCUGAUGGUGCAACGCCGCGUGGAGGAUGAAGGUCUUCGGAUUGUAAACUCCUGUCAUCCGGGAGUAAGACCUGGCGAUGAAUAGUCGACAGGGUUGAUAGUACCGGAAGAGGAAGGGACGGCUAACUUCGUGCCAGCAGCCGCGGUAAUACGAAGGUCCCGAGCGUUGUUCGGAAUCACUGGGCGUAAAGGGAGCGUAGGCGGCGUGGUAAGUCAGAUGUGAAAUCCCGGGGCUCAACCCCGGAACUGCAUCCGAUACUGCCGUGCUAGAGGAUUGGAGAGGUAGCUGGAAUUCACGGUGUAGCAGUGAAAUGCGUAGAUAUCGUGAGGAACACUCGUGGCGAAAGCGAGCUACUGGACAACUCCUGACGCUGAGGCUCGAAGGCCAGGGUAGCGAAAGGGAUUAGAUACCCCUGUAGUCCUGGCAGUAAACGGUGCACGCUUGGUGUGAGGGGAAUCGACCCCCCUUGUGCCGGAGCAAACGCGUUAAGCGUGCCGCCUGGGAAGUACGGUCGCAAGACUAAAACUCAAAGAAAUUGACGGGGACCCGCACAAGCGGUGGAGUAUGUGGCUUAAUUCGAUGCAACGCGAAGAACCUUACCAAGGCUUGACAUGCAUCUCUAAGCGCGUGAAAGCGCGUGACCCUUCGGGGGAUUUGCACAGGUGCUGCAUGGCCGUCGUCAGCUCGUGUCGUGAGAUGUUGGGUUAAGUCCCGCAACGAGCGCAACCCUUGUGAUUAGUUGCCAGCGGGUAAAGCCGGGAACUCUAGUCAGACUGCCCAGAUCAACUGGGAGGAAGGUGGGGACGACGUCAGGUCAGUACGGCCCUUACGCCUUGGGCUGCACACGUACUACAAUGCCCAGUACAAUGAGAACCGAGACCGCGAGGUGGAGGAAAUCUGCAAAACUGGGCCCAGUUCGGAUUGGAGGCUGCAACUCGCCUCCAUGAAGUCGGAAUCGCUAGUAAUGGCGCACCAUCUACGGCGCCGUGAAUACGUUCCCGGGUCUUGUACACACCGCCCGUCACAUCAUGGAAGCCGGUCGCACCCGAAGUGCCCGUGCCAACCCCGCUCUGCGGGGAGGCAGGGUCCUAAGGUGUAGCUGGUAACUGGGAUGAAGUCGUAACAAGGUAGCCGUA
RNAcentral lists this ribosomal RNA (1564 nucleotides) under uncultured bacterium. Its description in RNAcentral is "bacterial SSU rRNA". It matches the Rfam family "Bacterial small subunit ribosomal RNA". The record is from RNAcentral.